Molecule: ribosomal RNA, 429 nt
Filed under: Verrucomicrobiota bacterium
Lineage: Bacteria; Pseudomonadati; Verrucomicrobiota
Description: Verrucomicrobia bacterium partial 16S ribosomal RNA
Rfam family: Bacterial small subunit ribosomal RNA
Source: RNAcentral
UAGGGAAUCUUCGGCAAUGGGGGGAACCCUGACCGAGCAACGCCGCGUGAGUGAAGAAGGUUUUCGGAUCGUAAAGCUCUGUUGUUAAGGAAGAACGAGUGUGAGAAUGGAAAGUUCAUGCUGUGACGGUACUUAACCAGAAAGGGACGGCUAACUACGUGCCAGCAGCCGCGGUAAUACGUAGGUCCCGAGCGUUGUCCGGAUUUAUUGGGCGUAAAGCGAGCGAAGGCGGUUAGAAAAGUCUGAAGUGAAAGGCAGUGGCUCAACCAUUGUAGGCUUUGGAAACUGUUUAACUUGAGUGCAGAAGGGGAGAGUGGAAUUCCAUGUGUAGCGGUGAAAUGCGUAGAUAUAUGGAGGAACACCGGUGGCGAAAGCGGCUCUCGGGUCUGUAACUGACGCUGAGGCUCGAAAGCGUGGGGAGCGAACAGG